This 536-nucleotide ribosomal RNA is filed under the name Psychrolutes sp. KT-2016. RNAcentral describes it as "partial 16S ribosomal RNA". It matches the Rfam family "Bacterial large subunit ribosomal RNA", at positions 150 to 1040 of the family's 2925-position model. The record is from RNAcentral. Lineage: Eukaryota; Metazoa; Chordata; Actinopteri; Perciformes; Psychrolutidae.
GCCCAACAGCUAGCCCACCCAAACAACUCCAACCACCCCCUGUUAAUAACCCCUAAAUACCCCAGUAUUUAAAUUGAACAAACCAUUUUUCCCCCUUAGUAUAGGCGAUAGAAAAGGAACUACGGCGCAAUAGAGAAAGUACCGCAAGGGAAUGCUGAAAGAGAGAUUAAAUAGCCCAGUAAAGCCUAAAAAAGCAGAGUUUCAAACUCGUACCUUUUGCAUCAUGAUUUAGCAAGUGUACCCCAAGCAAAGCGUACUUUAGUUUGACGUCCCGAAACUAGGUGAGCUACUCCAAGACAGCCUAUUAAUAGGGCGUACCCGUCUCUGUGGCAAAAGAGUGGGGAGAGCUUUGAGUAGAGGUGAUAAACCUACCGAACCUAGUUAUAGCUGGUUGUCCAAGAAAUGAAUAGAAGUUCAGCCCCUUGGCUUCUCUUUUCACACUAGUUUAACCCCUAUUGAUGCAUUAAAGAAACCGAGGGAGUUAGUCAAAGGGGGUACAGCCCCUUUGAAUCAAGACACAACUUUACCAGGAGGGU